UCAGGAUGAACGCUGGCGGCGUGCUUAACACAUGCAAGUCGAACGAAGCACUUUCUUACGAUCCCUUCGGGGUGACGAGUUUGUGACUGAGUGGCGGACGGGUGAGUAACGCGUGGGUAACCUGCCUUAUACAGGGGGAUAACAGUUGGAAACGGCUGCUAAUACCGCAUAAGCGCACAGUAUCGCAUGAUACAGUGUGAAAAACUCCGGUGGUAUAAGAUGGACCCGCGUCUGAUUAGCUAGUUGGUGAGGUAACGGCUCACCAAGGCGACGAUCAGUAGCCGAUCUGAGAGGAUGAACGGCCACAUUGGGACUGAGACACGGCCCAGACUCCUACGGGAGGCAGCAGUGGGGAAUAUUGCACAAUGGGCGAAAGCCUGAUGCAGCGACGCCGCGUGAGCGAUGAAGUAUUUCGGUAUGUAAAGCUCUAUCAGCAGGGAAGAUAAUGACGGUACCUGACUAAGAAGCACCGGCUAAAUACGUGCCAGCAGCCGCGGUAAUACGUAUGGUGCAAGCGUUAUCCGGAUUUACUGGGUGUAAAGGGAGCGUAGGCGGUCUUGCAAGUCUGAUGUGAAAGCCCGGGGCUCAACCGCGGGAUUGCAUUGGAAACUGUAGGACUUGAGUAUCGGAGAGGUAAGUGGAAUUCCUAGUGUAGCGGUGAAAUGCGUAGAUAUUAGGAGGAACACCAGUGGCGAAGGCGGCUUAC
Molecule: ribosomal RNA, 706 nt
Filed under: Lachnospiraceae bacterium RM61
Lineage: Bacteria; Bacillati; Bacillota; Clostridia; Lachnospirales; Lachnospiraceae
Also listed under: 1 other name
Description: bacterial SSU rRNA
Rfam family: Bacterial small subunit ribosomal RNA
Source: RNAcentral